GUCUUGUCCCCAUGGCUGUGCUGGGAGCAGAACCCCUGCAGGGUGGCUGUUUGCACUGCCGCGCCACAGCACCAUGGUCCUGUCAGUCAGACCCAGCUGCUGCCAUUGCCUGCAGGCAGCAGCACAGGCCCUGCCGCCCUGGGCAUCCCCUUGCACCGGGCCCCGAAGGAGCAGGUGCUGCUCCCUGGCCCAGAGCUGGCAGCUUUGCUGUGCAUGCAGGCUUCAUCUGAGGAAUGCUCCCCUGAGGAAGGGCUGUGGUUUUAAUGUCUAAUCAUUAGUGCAGAGCUGUGCUAUGACAAACAAGUAUGCAGGCACAUGCUCGAGUUGAGAGUCACGUAAGAGGCAGAAAAACUGGCAGAAGAUGAAGAUAUGAAGAUUGCCUAAUUCUGAAUUGAACACAUCCGGUUUGUACUGUGGACAAGGCUCUUAGGGUGCUGUCCUUCCCUUUGGAUAGGUG
Pezoporus flaviventris is the source of this 457-nucleotide long non-coding RNA. RefSeq lists it as uncharacterized. NCBI's taxonomy places the organism in Eukaryota, Metazoa, Chordata, Aves, Psittaciformes, Psittacidae. The transcript has 3 exons. The record is from RefSeq and is a predicted model, not a curated record.